RNAcentral lists this long non-coding RNA (2353 nucleotides) under Oncorhynchus kisutch (coho salmon). RNAcentral's name for it is "lncRNA (ENSOKIG00005028863.1)". Lineage: Eukaryota; Metazoa; Chordata; Actinopteri; Salmoniformes; Salmonidae. The record is from RNAcentral.
GUCCCUAUUCCCUACAUAGUGCACUAAAUUAGACCAGAGUUAUGGAACGGAAUUCCCUUUUUAUGCACUUUGACCUUGAACUGAAGCAUGAGAAUAUUCACCUGCUACACACCUGUUAUUCACCUGCUACACACCUGUUAUUCACCUGUUCACCUGCUAUACACCUGUUAUUCACCUGCUACACCUGUUAUUCACCUGUUAUACACCUGUUAUUCACCUGCUACACACCUGUUAUUCACCUGUUCACCUGCUACACACCUGUUAUUCACCUGUUAUUCACCUGCUACACACCUGUUAUUCACCUGUUAUACACCUGUUAUACACCUGUUAUUCACCUGCUAUACACCUGUUAUUCACCUGCUAUACACCUGUUAUUCACCUGCUAUACACCUGUUAUUCACCUGCUAUACACCUGUUAUUCACCUGCUAUACACCUGUUAUUCACCUGCUACACACCUGUUAUUCACCUGUUAUACACCUGCUACACACCUGCUAUACACCUGUUAUUCACCUGCUACACACCUGUUAUACACCUGUUAUUCACCUGCUAUACACCUGCUAUACACCUGUUAUACACCUGCUAUACACCUGAUACACCUGAUACACCUGCUACUCACCUGCUACACACCUGCUACUCACCUGCUAUACACCUGUUAUUCUCCUGCUAUACACCUGAUUCACCUGUUAUACAUCUGCUAUUCACCUGCUAUACACCUGCUAUUCACCUGCUAUUCACCUGCUAUACACCUGCUAUUCACCUGCUAUUCAUUGGGGGUGGAGAUCUAAUACAUGAAGGUGUGGCGGAGCCGUGUCUACAGAUUCUGACCUUGUUGAUGCCUUCUUAACAUGCAUGACACCAAGGCUUUUACGGUUACAGAAGUCAACAAAUGAGAGAGCCUGGGGAAUGGGAGUGGAGCUAGGCACUGCAGGGCCUGGGUUAACCUCUACAUCACCAGACCAAGACCUCCCUGACCAAGGCCCUUCUCCCUUGAUUGUUCAGUUUGGCCAACGGGCCAGCUUCCAAACUUCUUUCAUUUAAGAAUGAUAGAGGCCUCUGUCUUCUUUGGGAAAUUCAAAGCUGCUGAAAUGUUUUGGUACCCUUCCCAAGAUCUGUGCCUCGACACAAUCCUUUUUCAGAGCUCUACGGACAAUUCCUUUCGACAUCAUGGCUUGGGUUUUGCUCUGACAUGCACUGUCAACUAUGAUACCUUAUGUAGACAGGUGUGUGCCUUUCCAAAUCAUGUCCAAUCAAUUGAAUUUACCCCAGGUGGACUCCAAUUAAGUUGCAGAAACAUCUCAAGGAUGAUCAAUGGAAAUAGGAUCCACCUGAGCUCAAUUUCAAGUCUCAUAGCAAAGGGUCUGAAUAUUUAUGUAAAUUUAAUAAGGCAUUAUCGUGGGUAGUUUGACUAGGUUUUUAUUUAAGGGGUCUGAAUACUUUCCGAAUGCACUGUAAAUUACACUGAGCAAAAGAGGAUGUUUUUGGAUUUUCACCCUCCAGACAUUAUUCCCUAAAGGUCUUGAUGAGAUAGAUGCCCAAGCAUGUUAUGUUGUAAAUGUGAACAUCAAUUAAUGCCGCCACUUCAGCCACUCUGGUGGUUUUUCCUGCACUGUACCCAUUGAUUACGUACUUGAUAGGUUGAUGUCCUCAUUGUGUUUUUACAGUCUUUUUUAAUAAGUUUAGAAUACUUAUUAAAUACACAUUGUUAUAUUUGAUAACACUUGGUUAUUUUCUUAAUAAAGAGCAGCGAACCUAGCAAGAGCAGUGUGUGGGUUUCUUUUUUCUCUCAGGAUGUAACAACAAAAUGUGGAAUAAGUCAAGGGCUAUGAAUACUUUCUGAAGGCACUGUACACGCACUACAUCACCACACACUACAUCACCACACACUACAUCACCACACACUACAUCACCACACACUACAUCACCACACACGCACUACAUAACCCCACACGCACUACGUAACCCCACACGCACUACAUCACCACACACUACAUAACCACACACUACAUCACCACACACUACAUAACCACACGCACUACAUAACCCCACACGCACUACAUAACCACACACUACAUAACCACGCACUACAUAACCACGCACUACAUAACCCCACACUACAUAACCCCACACUACAUAACCACGCACUACAUAACCACGCACUACAUAACCCCACACGGACUACAUCACCGCACACUACAUCACCACACACUACAUAACCACGCACUACAUAACCCCACACGCACUACAUCACCGCACACUACAUAACCACACACUACAUAACCACGCACUACAUAACCCCACACGCACUACAUCACCGCACACUACAUCACCACACACUACAUAACCACGCACUAC